This 112-nucleotide microRNA precursor is filed under the name Fragaria vesca subsp. vesca. RNAcentral describes it as "Fragaria vesca miR11303 stem-loop (fve-MIR11303)". Lineage: Eukaryota; Viridiplantae; Streptophyta; Magnoliopsida; Rosales; Rosaceae. The record is from miRBase by way of RNAcentral.
GGUGGGGGAGCUGAACUCAAACAUCACUGCAGCUGUAUGCUCUUAGCUAAAUAAUUGAUUAAUCAACAGCCGCAGACUGCUGUAGUGAUGUUUAGAGUUCAGCUCCCGGUCC